Molecule: ribosomal RNA, 559 nt
Filed under: uncultured bacterium
Lineage: Bacteria
Description: bacterial SSU rRNA
Rfam family: Bacterial small subunit ribosomal RNA
Source: RNAcentral
UGAGGAAUAUUGGUCAAUGGGCGGGAGCNUGAUGGACCCGACCCUGANCCAGCCAAGUAGCGUGCGCGAUGANGUCCUUUGUGNUCGUAAUCCGCUAUUAUCAGAGAAUACACUCCACCACGUGUGGUGUCAUUGCAGGUAGAAAAAGAAAAAGGNCCGUUUUAUUCCGCGCCAGCAGCCGCGGUAAUAAGGGAGGUCCGGGCUUUUUCCGGAAUUUUUGGUUUAAAAGGGGAGCGCGGGGGGGAGUAUAAGUCAGCUGUUAAAUAUCAGAGCCCAACUCUGUUAUGCAGUUGAAACUAUAUUUCUUGAGUACGCACAGGGAUGGCGGAAUUCAGGGUGUAGCGGUGAAAUGCUUAGAUAUCCUGAAGAACUCCGAUCGCGAAGGCAGCCAUCCGGAGCGUAACUGACGCUGAGGCUCGAAGGUGCGGGUAUCGAACAGGAUUAGAUACCCUGGUAGUCCGCACGGUAAACGAUGAAUACUCGCAGUUCGGCCGUUUAUGGUCGAGUUGUCUAGCGAAAGCGUUAAGUAUUCCACCUGGGGAGUACGCCGGCAACGGUG